UGGGGUAAACGGACAGAGCCUGUGAAUCCGGGCGGCAGAAUUCAACGUCGAUGGCGAUUUCGGUCGUCGUUGGCGUGAUAUUUCUGUCGCCGUUUUACGGACGUUGCGACCCGUUUGGUGUCAGUCUUACGAGGCAUACGUACGUUCGUCGACGCGGUUGACUUUGUCAGCUCGCGUUACGAGGGUGUGUUCUCCGGCUGACUCGCCAGACGGUACGAAAUGGUGUCUGUGACGGCAUUCGCGUGUCGUCACAGUGCCGGUCUGCAACGAAUCUUC
RNAcentral lists this ribosomal RNA (276 nucleotides) under Mirococcus sp. NH16 NBH-2007. Its description in RNAcentral is "partial 28S large subunit ribosomal RNA". Lineage: Eukaryota; Metazoa; Arthropoda; Insecta; Hemiptera; Pseudococcidae. The record is from RNAcentral.